Molecule: ribosomal RNA, 409 nt
Filed under: uncultured bacterium
Lineage: Bacteria
Description: bacterial SSU rRNA
Rfam family: Bacterial small subunit ribosomal RNA
Source: RNAcentral
CAGCAGCCGCGGUAAUACGUAGGUGGCAAGCGUUGUCCGGAAUUAUUGGGCGUAAAGCGCGCGCAGGCGGUCCUUUAAGUCUGAUGUGAAAUCUUGCGGCUCAACCGCAAGCGGUCAUUGGAAACUGGGGGACUUGAGUGCAGGAGAGGAAAGCGGAAUUCCAUGUGUAGCGGUGAAAUGCGUAGAGAUAUGGAGGAACACCAGUGGCGAAGGCGGCUUUCUGGCCUGUAACUGACGCUGAGGCGCGAAAGCGUGGGGAGCAAACAGGAUUAGAUACCCUGGUAGUCCACGCCGUAAACGAUGAGUGCUAAGUGUUGGAGGGUUUCCGCCCUUCAGUGCUGCAGCAAACGCAUUAAGCACUCCGCCUGGGGAGUACGGUCGCAAGACUGAAACUCAAAGGAAUUGACGG